Molecule: ribosomal RNA, 433 nt
Filed under: uncultured bacterium
Lineage: Bacteria
Description: bacterial SSU rRNA
Rfam family: Bacterial small subunit ribosomal RNA
Source: RNAcentral
UCGAGAAUCUUUCACAAUGGGGGCAACCCUGAUGGAGCGACGCCGCGUGGAGGAUAAGGUCUUCGGAUUGUAAACUCCUGUCAUGCGAGAACAAAGCCUCACGGCCUGAUAGUAUCGCAAGAGGAAGAGACGGCUAACUCUGUGCCAGCAGCCGCGGUAAUACAGAGGUCUCAAGCGUUGUUCGGAAUCACUGGGCGUAAAGGGUGCGUAGGCGGCGCGGAAAGUCAGAUGUGAAAUCCGGAGGCUCAACCUCCGAAUUGCAUCCGAUACUCCCGCGCUGGAGAAUUGUAGAGGGGCUUGGAAUUCUCGGUGUAGCAGUGAAAUGCGUAGAUAUCGAGAAGAACGCUCGCAGCGAAAGCUGGGCUCUGGGCAAUUUCUGACGCUGAUGCACGAAGGCUAGGGGAGCAAACGGGAUUAGAUACCCCCGUAGUCC